This 274-nucleotide ribosomal RNA is filed under the name uncultured eukaryote. RNAcentral's name for it is "partial large subunit ribosomal RNA". It matches the Rfam family "Eukaryotic large subunit ribosomal RNA", at positions 40 to 313 of the family's 3401-position model. The record is from RNAcentral.
AUAUCAAUAAGCGGAGGAAAAGAAACCAACAGGGAUUGCCUUAGUAACGGCGAGUGAAGCGGCAACAGCUCAGAUUUGAAAGCCGGCAACCGCCCGCAUUGUAAUCUGCAGAGGAACGUUUGGCUGCGGUACGGGUCCAAGUCUUCUGGAAUGAUGCGCCUUAGAGGGUGAGAGCCCCGUAUAUGAUCCACAACCAAAGCCGUGCAAGCGUCCUUCGACGAGUCGAGUUGUUUGGGAAUGCAGCUCAAAGCGGGUGGGUGAAAUUACCAUCUAA